Pantoea vagans C9-1 is the source of this 62-nucleotide non-coding RNA. The record is from Rfam. Lineage: Bacteria; Pseudomonadati; Pseudomonadota; Gammaproteobacteria; Enterobacterales; Erwiniaceae.
GUCAGGGAGCGAACAAGCCAAAAAAGAGUGAGCCGGCGGCGCCAUGUGCGCGGCCGGCCAAC